GGUCGCUCCUAAGAAACCAUUAAUAUAACAAAAGCUGUCAAAAGAUAUGAAGGAAGAAAGGAUGGUACUUUUUGGUUAUGAGGUGGGGUGACUGGAAAGCAGAAGGUGGAAUCAUCUGAAGGGCACUCACUCGCUUGUCUGGUGGUUGAUGCUGACUGUUGGCUGGGACCAACGUGGGGCUGUGGCUGGAACACCUACAUGUGGCCCUUCGUACGGCUGCUCAUCUUCCCCACAAUAUGGUGGCUGGGUUCCAAAGGUAGCCGCAAAGCAUUGCCCAGGUGCCAAGAGAGGAAAAAUGGACUCUAUCUCUUGAUGGAGCAAAUACGGAAAAUUGCCCAGAUCCUCUUGGCUGCCCAGCUGCAUACUGAAGACAACCAUGAGACAUUUCGUUUUAGCUCAGUCAACAUUUUGUUCUUCAGAAAUUUGUUAAAGACUUGAAACUUUUUCCAGUCUGUUCUCUCCCAUCACUACAACGCCAAAGUAACAAAAGGAGCAAGAAUCGAGGAAGUGUGGAAAGUGCAUGCGUGGAGGAUGGAUGACUUUCUUUGAUUUUGCCGAAAGGAGAGAUGAGAACAUGAUAAAUAAGGCAGAAGAAUUGCUUUGACUGGAGAUUUCGAAACCGUUAUCUCCCUCUUCCCCUGCAUUUUGAAUGUGGCUCUGUGUACAUCUGAAAGCUGGAGGUUAUUACAGAAGAUUGAGCAGAGUCCCCUGUGCUGUACAGUAGGUCCCUGUUGGUUUUCUAUGUUAUAUAUGGCAGUGUGUACACGCUCUGCCCCUGUCUCCUGCAUACCCACUGCCACUGUCCAGACUUCCGGCAUCCUUCUCCAGGACACUUCAGGUAACGCCUGUGUGCAUUCACUAUCCUGCAGAGAAUGUUCUUCCUCCAAUAUUCUCCAUUCAGAACUCCCCAGGAGAGAAACCAAGAUCUCUGGCUCUCAGCACCAUCUCGGCACCUUGAAAAGCCAGCACCAUCUCGGCACCUUGAAAAGCCAGCACCAUCUCACUAGUCACAUGAGGGCACCAUCUUGGAAGCAAAUCCUCCAGCCCUCUGCUAAUCAUCAUUACCCACCAGCUACUCCCCAGCUAACACUGCAUGGAGGAGAGACAAGCCUUUCCCAGGAGUCUCGCCCAAAUUGAAGAUUUAUGAGGAAGAGGGGAAAAAUGCUAUUGUUUUAAGCCACUGUUUUAACUAAACUAUAUGACUUUAACUCUAAAGGGCCUGACUGUCCUCUGAAUCCCUCAGUACCACUCAUCUGUCAUUGAACUCUGCUAUCUUGAGUUAGAAAUUAUUUUUUCUUGUGUUUAGAGACUACCUUACCAACUCAGUAAUUAGCUUCUUGGAGACAGGUAUCUUAGACUACAUUUGUGGAGUUUGCUGUAUCUUGUAGCACAGUGACUUUU
Molecule: long non-coding RNA, 1401 nt
Organism: Balaenoptera acutorostrata (minke whale)
Lineage: Eukaryota; Metazoa; Chordata; Mammalia; Artiodactyla; Balaenopteridae
Exons: 8
Source: RefSeq, a predicted model, not a curated record